CCUACGGGCGGCAGCAGUGGGGGAUAUUGCACAAUGGGGGGAACCCUGAUGCAGCGACGCCGCGUGGGUGAAGAAGCGCCUCGGCGCGUAAAGCCCUGUCAGCAGGGAAGAAAAUGACGGUACCUGAAGAAGAAGCCCCGGCUAACUACGUGCCAGCAGCCGCGGGAAUACGUAGGGGGCAAGCGUUAUCCGGAUUUACUGGGUGUAAAGGGGGCGCAGACGGCGAUGCAAGCCAGGCGUGAAAGCCCGGGGCCCAACCCCGGGACUGCUCUUGGAACUGCGUGGCUGGAGUGCAGGAGGGGCAGGCGGAAUUCCUGGGGUAGCGGUGAAAUGCGUAGAUAUCAGGAGGAACACCGGUGGCGAAGGCGGCCUGCUGGACUGCAACUGACGUUGAGGCCCGAAAGCGUGGGGAGCAAACAGGAUUAGAUACCCCGGUAGUC
RNAcentral lists this ribosomal RNA (440 nucleotides) under uncultured bacterium. RNAcentral describes it as "partial 16S ribosomal RNA". It matches the Rfam family "Bacterial small subunit ribosomal RNA", at positions 338 to 795 of the family's 1533-position model. The record is from RNAcentral.